RNAcentral lists this long non-coding RNA (757 nucleotides) under Homo sapiens (human). RNAcentral describes it as "novel transcript". Lineage: Eukaryota; Metazoa; Chordata; Mammalia; Primates; Hominidae. The record is from RNAcentral.
GGGGGUGGAAUUGGGGUUACUCGAUGUAAGGGAUUCCUUGUUGUUGUGUUGAGAUCCAGUGCAGUUGUGAUUUCUGUGGAUCCCAGCUUGGUUCCAGGAAUUUUGUGUGAUUGGCUUAAAUCCAGUUUUCAAUCUUCGACAGCUGGGCUGGAACGUGAACUCAGUAGCUGAACCUGUCUGACCCGGUCACGUUCUUGGAUCCUCAGAACUCUUUGCUCUUGUCGGGGUGGGGGUGGGAACUCACGUGGGGAGCGGUGGCUGAGAAAAUGUAAGGAUUCUGGAAUACAUAUUCCAUGGGACUUUCCUUCCCUCUCCUGCUUCCUCUUUUCCUGCUCCCUAACCUUUCGCCGAAUGGGGCAGCACCACUGACGUUUCUGGGCGGCCAGUGCGGCUGCCAGGUUCCUGUACUACUGCCUUGUACUUUUCAUUUUGGCUCACCGUGGAUUUUCUCAUAGGAAGUUUGGUCAGAGUGAAUUGAAUAUUGUAAGUCAGCCACUGGGACCCGAGGAUUUCUGGGACCCCGCAGUUGGGAGGAGGAAGUAGUCCAGCCUUCCAGGUGGCGUGAGAGGCAAUGACUCGUUACCUGCCGCCCAUCACCUUGGAGGCCUUCCCUGGCCUUGAGUAGAAAAGUCGGGGAUCGGGGCAAGAGAGGCUGAGUACGGAUGGGAAACUAUUGUGCACAAGUCUUUCCAGAGGAGUUUCUUAAUGAGAUAUUUGUAUUUAUUUCCAGACCAAUAAAUUUGUAACUUUGCAGCGG